RNAcentral lists this non-coding RNA (22 nucleotides) under Arabidopsis thaliana (thale cress). The record is from RNAcentral. Lineage: Eukaryota; Viridiplantae; Streptophyta; Magnoliopsida; Brassicales; Brassicaceae.
UUCGAAAUGAACUCUUGUGCGU